UAGGCUCUAUAAAGAAUUGGCAUGGGAGAUGGGUUUUGAAGAGUUCCAUUUGUAUCUGAGGCCUGUUCACUUUGAAUUUGCAUCACACGGGGACAGGGCAGACCAGCCACCUCCUGUGUUUAUAACCUCUCUGCUGGAGGACAGUGGUCGGGUAGACAGAUAUUCUCCUACUGCUCUUGUCUUAGCCAUCUCUGAGGUGGAUGAUAACCAAAUUGGCAAAUUUAGUUUUUACACAAAGGAAGCCAUUCUUAAGCUUUUGCUGCAUUCAGGAGUGGAAAAUAUGCAGGUGACUCUUGCAUGCCAAGCUGCUCAGAAAAAUGCUUUGAUGGCGGCUGUCCAGCAGGUGUACUUCUAUUGCACCCCUCAAGGGAGCUGUCCUGCUAAUGUCAAGGAAAUAAGUUCAGAUCUGAGAAAUCAUGGUGGAAUGGGCCCAACCAGAAGAAGAUAUUCCAGAAUUGUGAAUGGCAUAGACAGCUCGCUGAUAGCCCCAACUCCAAAAGUCCCAGAUACACUUACUCAUUCUCCAGAAAGAUUUCAGGCUACCAAAAG
Homo sapiens (human) is the source of this 549-nucleotide long non-coding RNA. The record is from Ensembl. Lineage: Eukaryota; Metazoa; Chordata; Mammalia; Primates; Hominidae.